Molecule: ribosomal RNA, 460 nt
Filed under: uncultured bacterium
Lineage: Bacteria
Description: partial 16S ribosomal RNA
Rfam family: Bacterial small subunit ribosomal RNA
Source: RNAcentral
CCUACGGGAGGCAGCAGUGAGGAAUAUUGGUCAAUGGGCGUAAGCCUGAACCAGCCAAGUCGCGUGAGGGAUGAAGGUCCUAUGGAUCGUAAACCUCUUUUAUAAGGGAAUAAAGUGCGGGACGUGUCCCUUUUUGUAUGUACCUUAUGAAUAAGGAUCGGCUAACUCCGUGCCAGCAGCCGCGGUAAUACGGAGGAUCCGAGCGUUAUCCGGAUUUAUUGGGUUUAAAGGGUGCGUAGGCGGCCUUUUAAGUCAGCGGUGAAAGUCUGUGGCUCAACCAUAGAAUUGCCGUUGAAACUGGGAGGCUUGAGUAUGUUUGAGGCAGGCGGAAUGCGUGGUGUAGCGGUGAAAUGCUUAGAUAUCACGCAGAACCCCGAUUGCGAAGGCAGCCUGCCAAGCCAUGACUGACGCUGAUGCACGAAAGCGUGGGGAUCAAACAGGAUUAGAUACCCUUGUAGUC